Molecule: long non-coding RNA, 970 nt
Organism: Quercus robur (English oak)
Lineage: Eukaryota; Viridiplantae; Streptophyta; Magnoliopsida; Fagales; Fagaceae
Exons: 4
Source: RefSeq, a predicted model, not a curated record
CAAGCCUUGAACACCAGCCUCCGCCUCAUCACGAACCCGCUUGCUGUUUUCGAUGGUCUUUUGCUUCUCCUCCAUUUGCUCAGCCAACUCUUUUAUCUUCCUUCAUAAUAGCCAAGUGAGACUCAAGGCAUUGGUUCCAUUCUCUUUUCCGAUCAACAAGCAACACCUCUUCCCACGCCGAUUCAUGCCACCGAAAGAGUUGUGUUUUCUCAUUACUGGGAACUGAGGCUUGCCGCUCUUGAUUGGAACACAAGGCGCAGUUAAUUGGCAGCGUCUACCAAAGCUUCUAUAGGAGAAAGAAAAUUUGCAAGUAUCAUGGUCAAUGGUGUUUUGUUGGAUGGAAUUGAGUGAUUGGCUGUCAUACAGGGCAAAAGGAGAUGAUACUUUUAGUCUGUGCACCACGGUGUGCAAAUGGACAAAUCUUGGUCAUGGAUAUAUGCAGAAAGUCAAUGAAAAAGAUUCCUGAGAUAUGGAAGCUUGUGGAUGGGAUGAUGACUUCUGGGAGUAGAUUGGAUUAGGUGAUCUUUCAGAUGGGCAUCAUGCUAAGAUAGUUUGUUACUUGGUAAUGAAUAAUGUCAACAGGACUGUGUAGCUUUUCCUGACCAUCUUUUGGGUUCUGGUCUUACUCCAGCUGCCGUGAAGGCAAGAAAUUUUGUACUGAAGAUUUCACAUUGAUUUACAGUGGCAUGCCUUGAGGUCCAUUAGCAAAAAACAUAUUUAUUUAGUUGCAAGAAAAUAUGAGUCACACUAUUUUCCUGGCCUUUGGUGGGUGAUUUAACUUGAUACUAGUAUUGACACCUAUUUGUAGCUAAUUUCUUAUGUAUUCAUGUGAUUUAAAUUUCCUGGAACUGGGACUUGUAGCAGUUCAUUUUGAAACUUCACAGAUUGAUGCUCAUGCUGUUGGCGGUGGGUGUAAUGGAAAGUGUGCCACAUUUGGAUUCUGAAGCUAAAGGUUAUUAUGGCUAAUCAA